AUGAUAUACGAGUAUCUGCCAAAUAAGAGCUUAGAUGCUACCAUUUUUGGUGAGUCGAGAAAAUUGCUGUUGGAUUGGGCGACACAGUUUCGUAUAAUCAAAGGGAUUGCAAAGGGACUUCGGUAUCUUCACGAAGACUCAAGGCUCACCAUAAUUCAUAGAGGCCUCAAAGCUGCAAAUGUUUUGUUAGAUGCAGAUUUUAAACCCAAGAUAGCAGAUUUUGGUAUGGCGAGGAUCUUUGGUGAUAACUUGGAAAAUGCGAAUACCCAACACGUUGUUGGAACAUAUGGCUACAUGGCUCCUGAGUAUGCAAUGGAAGGUGUCUUCUCUACCAAGUCUGACGUCUACAGUUUCGGCAUGUUACUACUGGAGGUUGUAACUGGUAUAAGGAGAAACUCCAUUAGUGAAACCAUGGGGUUCCCUAGCCUCACAGUAUAUUCAUGGAAUAUGUGGAAGGAAGAUAGGACCAAUGAGCUGCCGGACUCAUCUAUCCUAGAUACUUCACCAGAUGAAAUUCUGCUUUGCAUCCAUGUAGCACUCUUGUGUGUCCAGGAGAACCCCGAUGAUAGGCCGCUCAUGUCAUCUGUUGUGUUUGUCCUAGAGAAUGAGAACACGCCACUUACAUCCCCCAAUCUCCCCGCCUACUUCGCGAGACGGAGUGCUGCAAUGAAUCAAAUUAGAACUGAUAUCCAGGCAUCCGUGAACAGUUUUACUCUUACUGAGAUAGAGGGACGAUGA
RNAcentral lists this ribosomal RNA (738 nucleotides) under Triticum aestivum (bread wheat). Its description in RNAcentral is "partial small subunit ribosomal RNA". The record is from RNAcentral. Lineage: Eukaryota; Viridiplantae; Streptophyta; Magnoliopsida; Poales; Poaceae.